Molecule: long non-coding RNA, 5281 nt
Organism: Nycticebus coucang (slow loris)
Lineage: Eukaryota; Metazoa; Chordata; Mammalia; Primates; Lorisidae
Exons: 3
Source: RefSeq, a predicted model, not a curated record
GGUAUUUUAAGAUCAUUAACCAAUUGAAAGAGAGGUUGGGGGCAGAGAAAUUUGAAGUGGUGAAAGUUCCCGCUAAUCAGAGGUGGUUCAGAAUCAACGAGUAAGCACCUUGGGAACUACUGGAGAACGUUAUAGGAGCUCAUUAGGUAGUUAACAAGUUUUGUUGGGCACACACACGGCUUGGUUCUCCUGGGGCUCACAGACUCUAACAUGAUGGACUUCAUGCUCCACAAUCUGGAAGCACAACUGUUGGGAAAUCCUGAAUAGGUUACCAAUAUUUUCACCUAACGACAUCUUUGUUGAAGGUAGAGGGCUUCCUGAAAUCAAUAAUUUGCCCCCAGGACUUAAAUGGAGUCAAGAACAAGGACAAUAAACAGGAGAACAUCCAAAAAGAAGUAAAGAAAGUGUUGGUGCGUUCAUUGUGUUUCCCUAUUGUUGAAUUCAAAAAUGUGUGUGUCACAGGUCAUAGGGAGAAAACUGGACUUCACAGGGGGAAGGAAUUCAUGGAUCCCCAACAAGAUGCUUCUCAAAGUCACCAGACUGCAAUCCUGGGUUUGAAAAAUCUCUGAAUCAAGAGCAUCUCUAGAAAAGCCCUGUGCCACUGAGUCUCCCCAGUGCAGUGAAGAAGAGCGUUCUCCCUGGCUGGCUGUGGUCUCGACAAAUUCCCUUCCAGUCAUGGCCCUCACAUCAGCGCUCACCUCUUCCAUGUGGGAUCGAGUGUAGAAAGAAAUGUGCAUGUGUCCUCCUGACCCAAGCCAGUUCUUGCAGUGUUCUGACCCAUCCUGGAGGGUGGAACGAUAGGAAGUUCUUGAUAACCUUCAAGAAAACUGAAGUGCUGGCACCACUGCCCUCCACCAUGCCAUGAUGCCUGUUCCUGAGGACAGAGCUCUCCAAUGAGGCCAGCAAGAGGUCUCCCGCACAUGCAGACACAGCCACCCCCAGUUACUGUACCCUCCUCCAAGGCAGGGCAAGUCUGAGGCAAGGUCACGCUCAGGAGAGCAACUCAAGAGCCGCGUGUGCAGUUCUGGAAACCUUGAUGCCCUGCACGUAGGAUGAGGAAGAUGUUAAUGAAAAAGGGAGGGUCUAGUUACCAGCCAAGCGUCCACCUUUAUUCUCCUCUGAGCCAGCAGAGAGAGAUGUGGUGCUCUGGCAUCUUUCCAACAAUCUGCACAUUGACCAUGAGCAGGAAGCUAAUUGCUGAGCUGCAAGAGACACAGAAAGCCCAAAGAAGGGGCAUGUCUCCCUGUGUCACACACACACAACCCUCUGACAGAUGCAUUUUAGGACUCUCCUGGAAAAAAGAGAAUUUUCCAGCAGCAACAGCAAGCAGGGGGCAAGAGAUGAGCUCGUGCCACUCCAAGAAUUUGAUGAGCACCCGAUACCAACAGCAUAAAUAAGCCCUUUAAUAAAUUAGAGAGCUAUUCAUUUAAAUGGAUCCUGCCGUCCCUUCGGUGCCAGUUAAUCUGUAAUUCAGAUAGAUCAGGGACGGCUCUGCUGGGAGACAAGAGUCCAGAAUAUAGAAUGAUUUUGUCCCCUGGGCCGAGGAUUCCGCUUGGUAAGCAGCACACACACCCUACAUGUUCACUUCAUUAUUUCUCCUCUCCCUUUCUCACCUACAGACAGUCACAGGCACACACCUGGGACAAAACGUGCACUCUGCCAGACUCGUAUCAACGAGCUCCAUGCACACCCACAUCUAUGUGUGCGUGUCCCCCCAUUCCAUUCUGUGCAUGGCUCCCGUGGUGUGUACAACUUCCGGGCAAGCAUUCCAGGCACCUCAACCAGGACGGGCAAAGGAACACGUGGCAGGUGCAUGUGCCACUUUCCAGAACCCCUGCGGCCAGAGCUGCCCCCUCCUGGAUGCUGUGGUGGGUGGGACACUGUGAUACGAACUGAAUGGUGCUCCUCUCCAGUUAAUAUAUCAGAGUCCUGCCUCCCAGUACAUCCAAAUGUGACUGUUUUGAAGGAAAGGGUCUUUAGAAGGGUAAUUAAGUUAAAAUGAGGUCCCUGGUGGGGGCCUUUCUUGGAAGAAGGGGGGAUUCGGGUCCAGAGACACAUCAAUGGAUGAGCAUGUGAAGCCACAGCGGGAAGAAGGGCCAAGGAGAGAAGCAGCAGGGACACCAGCCCAGCCUCGGUCUUGGGCUUCUGGCCUCCAGGACUGGAAGAGAAUCUGUUUCUGUUGCUGAAAUCACCCAGUGUGUGGGACUUCGUCAUGGCAGUCCUAGCAAAUGAGCACUAAGCCAGGAGGGAGAUGGUGCUCAGAGGAUUGUACAGUCACCACAAAGGGAGUGCCGCCCAUGUCAGUAUUUGCUGGUAGACUUCUGCACGAGGACACCUGUUAUAGGCCCUUCUAGUCUUACAUGGUGCAAUGUCCUAAGGCUGCAAUACAUGUUAAAAAGGUUUGCCAACUAGAUGAUACCGCCAAAGGUGUUCUGUUGCUGCUGCUGCUGCUGCUGCAUAUGCUCUGGCACAUGCGAAACCAACUCCACAUCCAGUGAUGAGCAUUCCCAGAUUGUCCCAAGACCACACAGGGGUGGUGAUAAUUACUGCAAUACAAUGACUACCAUUUUUUAAAUGUUACAUGUGCCAGGCCUGUGCAAACCAUCUUCCAUCCAUCAUCCCCCUUAAUGCUCUCAACACCCCCAUCUCUGUAGGGUAACUGCAACUAUUAUCCUUAUUUUAGAGUAGAAGAAACAGAAACUGAGAGAUUUAGCGAAGUCAUGUAAGUGACGAGCUGGGACAUAAGCCCCUAACUUAAUCACUACCAUCAUUUACGUUCUAUUCGGUUGCACAAAUAUUGACUGCAUGAGCUUUCUUUUGCAGGCCCCAGGCUGAGAGGUGCUGAAAACCAUCUGUUCCUUCCAGGCAAUUGCCUACUUAAUCUCUUGAGGUCAAGGGUGUGACCUUCCUUACAAGGAGAGCUCUCCCGUGAACUGCUGCUUCAGGCACAUCAGAAGUUUCAGGUCACUGGCACGAUUUCCCAAGCAGGGAGUGAAAGAGAAAAACUGAGAUCAGAGACACUGGGUCUAGUCCCAAGCCUGCCCAGAUGGUGACCUGAGACUCUCUGGGGGAAGCAUGUUCUCACAGAGGGAACCACAGGCGUGAAGUCCCCAAGGAAGCAGCAUGCUUAGCAUGGUCAAGGAAUAGCUUGGAGGUCAGUGUGGCUGGUGGGGAGUGACCAGCAGAAGGAGAAGGGGUGGAGGAUAAGUACGAGAGGCAGCCCCAACACAGACCAUGAGACCCUGCUCAACCAUGGGGACCCUGGGAGUGAGCAUGUACUUUGCCCUAGAGCUGAGCCCCGGGGACCCGCAAGAGCUGAUUAUCCUGCAUACGAGAUGGCUGGGGCUAUGGUGUGCGGGGCAGACACGUAGCUUGGGAGUGUGGAAGCAAAGAGCCCAGACCAAAGGCUCUCUGGAUCGUCUAGGAGAGAGAAAAGAAGGAAGCAAAACCCCAGUGUGAGAAGUAAUUUUUGCCAAGAAUACCGUUAGCCACUGGUCUCAUCUUCCAAUUCAUUAUCAAUAUAUUCCAAAAUUUCAAAAUGGAUUAUUGUCUGGUAUCAAACAAGGGGCUUGCAAUGCUUCUCUUUUCCAUUCCUUAUUAUUAUUUUUUUGAACUUUUAAAGUAACCUUCAUUAAGAAAAAAACAUUGUUUUUAAUUUUUCUUUUCAUAUACCUUUAUUGAUUUUCAUGUUAAAAUGUUUCUUUUAAUAUUUGAAAACAGAUCCGCCCUCCCUUGUUCAGUGACUUGUACUGUGCUUUGGGAAAGGAGAGCCAAAGAAAAACUCCUUAGACCAGGGCUCGAUAAUAGGCCCCAUCCCUUGGACAAAUUACUGAGCUCAGAGCACCUGCAAACCUGGCCUGCAACUACCUGGUUCAUUUGGUGUGAAGAUUAGUUCAAGGGAAGAGUUAAGAAGGGCUGGGACUUCGCCGGUGCACACAGUAGGUGCUGCAUAUAUGUUAGCAUAGAGGAUAAUGAUGAUGAUGACAAGAACAAAGGCAAAGCCCAUCUGCCCAGCCUCAUCCCUUCCUAACCUGCCACCAGCUCAUGCACACACAUCAGGCUCAACAGAGCUGCUGGUGGUUCUCUGAACUGUCCUGUUCUCUCUAGUCUCCUGUUCUUACACACCUCCAGUCUGUCUAAACAGAGCUCUCCAACAAAUAAUUCUGUGUGUCCCUAAAGACUCAGCCCAGGUGCCACUUCUCUCGGGAGGCCCCACAGGCAUCUCUGCUGUGCUGGCAGAGCCGCGGCUGCUGGCGGCUCCUCCCCUCCCGACCUGCCCACCUUCCCCUGGAGACCGUGGGUUUUCCCAUGGCAGUGAGAGUGUCCUUCACAUCUGUGCCAGGAACUGAGCCCUGAACCAAGGCGCCUGCAGGCCCCUCACCAACAUGGGGCAUUUCUGUUUUAUCCUGUGGCUCCCAUGCCUCACACAGUGUCCUUCUCACCCAUGGUCAGUGUUCAACAAACAUGUUGACAAGGCAGACGAAUGAAUGAACCAUUCCUUACAUCUUCUUUUCUCUUGUCAUGAGAGUCCAAAUAACCCAGAGCCCAGAUGAACAGACCAUCUAUCUGAAAAAGAAAGAACUUCUCUCGCUUCCAAGUUGGCCACUUCAGUAGGCCGAACAGUGUCUUCUGCCCCCCCAAAGAGAUAUGUCCCCCUGGAACCUCAGAAUGUGACACUAUUUAGAAACAGAAUCCUUGUAAAUAUCAUUAAGGUAAGUAUCAGAAUGAGAUCAUAUAGGGGCAGGUUGGGCCCCAAAGCCAAUGACAGCACGUUUUUACAAAAGACAGAACAGGACAGAGAGGCACAGAGAAGAAGGUCAUGUGAGAGAAACAGCCGGCAAUGACACAGCCACAAGCUGAGGAGCGCGUGGGGCCACCAGAAGCUGCAAGAGGCAAGGCCAGAGCCCCCCCCAACAGCCUUGGGAGAGAACACAGCCCUGCCGACACCGUCUUUUAAACUCCUGGCCUCCAAAACUGCAAGCAAAGUACAUGUCCGUGUUUUAAGCCAGCCGGUUUGUGGCGAUGUGUUGUGGCCACCCCAAAACACAGUCAUGGUCAUCUGCAGAUGUGUCAGGCCCAGAGAUGGAGUUUUCAGGUGGUCCUUCAAGGCCACGCUCAUCCUUACUCCAACUGUAAGCAUCACACCUGCAACCUCACAUCCUCAAGCGGUUGACUCCUCCUUGCUUUUUGCCCCAAGUUCACUGUCCUGUUUACUGCUCCACAGCCUCAGGAGGCAGGUUCAUUGCAGUGAUUUUCACUGGUGUGCCAUGAAAGGAUCUUA